GAUGAACGCUGGCGGCGUGCCUAAUACAUGCAAGUCGAGCGAACAGACGAGGAGCUUGCUCCUCUGACGUUAGCGGCGGACGGGUGAGUAACACGUGGAUAACCUACCUAUAAGACUGGGAUAACUUCGGGAAACCGGAGCUAAUACCGGAUAAUAUAUUGAACCGCAUGGUUCAAUAGUGAAAGACGGUUUUGCUGUCACUUAUAGAUGGAUCCGCGCCGCAUUAGCUAGUUGGUAAGGUAACGGCUUACCAAGGCGACGAUGCGUAGCCGACCUGAGAGGGUGAUCGGCCACACUGGAACUGAGACAGGGUCAAGACUCCUACGGGAGGCAGCAGUAGGGAAUCUUCCGCAAUGGGCGAAAGCCUGACGGAGCAACGCCGCGUGAGUGAUGAAGGUCUUCGGAUCGUAAAACUCUGUUAUUAGGGAAGAACAAAUGUGUAAGUAACUAUGCACGUCUUGACGGUACCUAAUCAGAAAGCCACGGCUAACUACGUG
Molecule: ribosomal RNA, 497 nt
Filed under: uncultured bacterium
Lineage: Bacteria
Description: partial 16S ribosomal RNA
Rfam family: Bacterial small subunit ribosomal RNA
Source: RNAcentral